This is a non-coding RNA of Oryza sativa Japonica Group (Japanese rice), 2137 nucleotides long. The record is from RefSeq and is a predicted model, not a curated record. NCBI's taxonomy places the organism in Eukaryota, Viridiplantae, Streptophyta, Magnoliopsida, Poales, Poaceae.
GGCCCGGCCCAUCUAAGCCCACCACUUAUUGGGCUCUCGCGGGCUCGCCGCGGCGGCAGUUGGGCCGCGCGAUGGCAAUGAGGAGCUUCGUCGGAGAUGGAGGUCGGGUCGGGGGGCUUCGGCGGCGGCGGCAGGUGGUGGCCGUGUGGGACUAUGGAGGCGGCGGCGGCGGCGGCGGCGAGCAACCGAUUCCAUUUCGCGGCAAUGGCGGCGGUGACCGGAGGAGGAGGCGCGACGAGGCUACUUCCUGCGGGUUGCCUCGAUCCCAUCUUCUUACGCAGAUAGGGAAUCGGGGCGGAUAGCAUUGAACAACCUAAGUCCUGAGACAGUACCUGAGCUACAUCCGUAUGGAAGGGAGCAUGGAGGAUGUGAGAUCAACACUACUUGUGCAGGAGCUUGCCGGCAUGAGAAGCAAAUCUGUGCCAAGACAGUACAUUGUGCAACAAGAAGACCAACCGACCAUUGCAGCCACUGCAUCAUUCCCCAUUGUUGACCUUGGUCGCCUGUCCCAACCAGAUGGUGAUGCCAAUGAGGCGGUGAAACUCCGGCAGGCGAUGGAGUCUUGGGGCCUUUUCAUGGUAACUAACCAUGGCAUAGAAGAUGCUCUGAUGGAUAACGUGAUGAAUGUGUCAAGAGAGUUUUUUCAACAGCAUCUUGGAGAGAAGCAAAAAUACACCAACUUGAUUGACGGCAAGCAUUUCCAGCUAGAAGGGUAUGGAAAUGACCAGGUGAAAUCUGAUACCCAAAUCCUGGAUUGGUUGGAUCGAUUGUAUCUGAAAGUAGAUCCAGCAGACGAGAGAAAUCUUUCCGUUUGGCCCAAGCAUCCUGAAUCUUUCAGGGAUGUUCUGGAUGAGUUUCUCAUAAAAUGUGAUGGAGUUAAAAACAGUCUCCUUCCAUCAAUGGCAAAGCUCUUGAAACUCAACGAGGAUUACUUUGUCAGACAAUUCUCUGACAGGCCUACCACUAUUGCUCGAUUCAACUACUACCCUCAGUGUCCAAGGCCUGAUCUUGUCUAUGGCAUGAAGCCUCAUUCUGAUGCAACCAUUCUUACAAUUCUUAUGGUUGAUAACGACGUUGGUGGGCUACAAGUUCUUAAAGAUGGUGUCUGGUAUGAUGUCCCAACUAAACCUCACACCUUGCUGAUCAACUUAGGAGAUCACAUGGAGAUAAUGAGCAAUGGGAUUUUUAAGAGCUCGGUGCAUAGGGUUAUGACAAAUCCUGAAAAGGAGAGAAUAUCAGUGGUGUUGUUUUAUUUUAUGAAUCUUGAGAAAGAGAUUGAGCCAGCACUUGAGCUGAUCGAUGAAAGGCACCCGGCAAGAUACAAGAGGGUGAAGAUUAUGGACUACCUUGCAGGGCUCUUUGAACAUUUCUUGCAAGGGACAAGAGUGAUUGACACAGUGAAGAUCUGAGUCACUAUGCCAGUUAAAAUAAAUAGUGAUUGUGAUAUGUACUCUGUAAAGUUUAUCAGAAAAAAAGAACUAUUGUAGAGUAUGAGUCACAUGGUCGCAUACUCAUGUAAUUAUGCCAUCCAGAUCUGUAGCGUUUAUCAGAAAAGAAAAAUAUUAUUGUGAGGUUUCAUUUUGUGUUUGCUGAGGAUGAAUGAUGAGUUUUGUACUUGUACUACUCCAAACAGUUUGAUGAGCUCUGCAUGCUAGAUCCUUGGAAAGAAACUGAGCCAGACACAAGACUGCUAGUACUUGAUAUUUGAGAAGCAUCCACCACUUUGCAAGGCAGCAAGAAAGUGAAGGCAAGAAUCAUUUAGCUGAGCCUUGUGAAUUCUAGUACUUCAGUUGGACCAUCUAAAAGGCAAGCAUAAUCAUUUGACAGCUUCAGAGUUUUUCAAUUUUUCCCUUGAUCUACACAUCUUGAUCUUUUUUUUUUCUUUUAGAAAAUAAUACAUCUUUAUCUUCUUUUAUUAUGUUUGAUCUUCUUUUGUUCGAUAGGAAUUGUGUUCUGUCUAUUGAUAUGAGUGACUAAUUGACUUUGUGUUGAUUUCGAGCAGAAUAGCAGCUCUCUCCAGGUUACUACUCCUGUUACUAACCAUUGAUAGAAACCGAGAGAUAGUUGAUCUGGUGCAGAUCUUGUGUCACCAUAUUACACCAGUUGAAAUAUCUAGAAGGAGAUAAGAAAAGGUAAG